GUAGUCAUAUGCUUGUCUCAAAGAUUAAGCCAUGCAAGUCUCAGUACAGACUGUAUUAAAGUGAAACCGCAAAAAGCUCAGUAAACCAGUUUUAAUUUACUAGAGUAAACUUGACUGUGCUUGGAUAACUGUGGUAAUUCUAGAGCUAAUACAUGCAAACAAACCCCCGGCCAUUUAUGGUAGGGGCGCUUUUAUUGGUACAAGACCAUUCGCCCGGUCCGCCGGGCGUCUCCUUGAUGAAUCCAAAUAACACAUCAGAUCGCAUGGUCCUCGUACCGGCGACUUAUCUUUCAAAUGCCUGACUUAUCAACUGACGAUGGUAGACUCUGUGUCUACCAUGGCUCCUACGGGUAACGGGGAAUCAGGGUUCGAUUCCGGAGAGGGAGCCUGAGAAACGGCUACCACAUCCAAGGAAGGCAGCAGGCACGCAAAUUACCCACUCCCGGCACGGGGAGGUAGUGACAAAAAAUAACGAUACGGGACUCGAUAUGAGGCCCCGUAAUCGGAAUGAGUACACUUUAAACCCUUAUUCAAAUAUCAAUUGGAGGGAAAGUUCUGGUGCCAGCAGCCGCGGUAAUUCCAGCUCCAAUAGCGUAUAUUAAAGUUGUUGCAGUUAAAAAGCUCGUAGUUGGUUCUGCGUCCCACGCUGUCGGUACACCUUUUGUUGGUGACACUGGCAUGCCGUGGUAUGUCCUGUCGGUGGCGGCCUUCGGUGGCCCUAGCGCUUCGGAUAAAACCGUCGUGCGAAGGUCUACCCGGUCGCCGGCUACUAUCCUACUCCGGUGCUCUUCAUUGAGUGUCGAGGUAGGCCGACACGUUUACUUUGAACAAAUUUGAGUGCUUAAAGCAGGCAAAAAUCUCUGCCUGAAUAGUGGUGCAUGGAAUAAUGGAACAGGCCCUUGGUUCUAUUUUGUUGGUCUUCGGAACACAAGGAAAUGAUCAAUGUGGACAGGCGGGGGCAUUCGUAUUGCGGCGUUAGAGGUGAAAUUCUUGGAUCGUCGCAAGACGCACUAGAGCGAAAGCAUUUGCCAAGUAUGUCUUAAUUGAUCAAGAACGAAAGUUAGAGGUUCGAAGGCGAUCAGAUACCGCCCUAGUUCUAACCAUAAACGAUGCCAGCCAGCGAUCCGCCGAUGUUCCUCCGAUGACUCGGCGGGGAGCUUUCUUCGGGAAACCAAAGCUUUUGGGUUCCGGGGGAAGUAUGGUUGCAAAGCUGAAACUUAAAGGAAUUGACGGAAGGGCACCACAAGGAGUGGAGCCUGCGGCUUAAUUUGACUCAACACGGGAAACCUCACCAGGUCAGGACAUUGGAAUGAUUGACGGAUUGAUAGCUCUUUCUUGAUUCAGUGGGUAGUGGUGCAUGGCCGUUCUUAGUUGGUGGAUCGAUUUGUCUGGUUAAUUCCGAUAACGAACGAGACUCUAGCCAAUUAACUAGACGUUUCCGGUAUCGAAGCUACCGGCGAUAUAUUAUCUUCUUAGGGGGACAGGCGGCUCUUAGCCGCACGAGAUUGAGCAAUAACAGGUCUGUGAUGCCCUUAGAUGUCCUGGGCCGCACGCGCGCUACACUGAAGGAAUCAGCCUGUUCGUUCCCUUGGCCGAAAGGCCCGGGUAACCCGCUGAACCUCCUUCGUGCUAGGAAUUGGGGCUUGCAAUUGUUCCCCAUGAACGAGGAAUUCCUAGUAAGCGCGAGUCAUAAGCUCGCGUUGAUUACGUCCCUGCCCUUUGUACACACCGCCCGUCGCUACUACCGAUUGAAUGAUUUAGUGAGGUCUUCGGACCGGCGGUAAGCCCAACCGACUUCGGCCGGUUUUGUCGAACGCUGGAAAGAUGACCAAACUUGAUCAUUUAGAGGAAGUAAAAGUCGUAACAAGGUUUCCGUAGGUGAACCUGCGGA
This 1891-nucleotide ribosomal RNA is filed under the name Anthocoris pilosus. RNAcentral describes it as "SSU rRNA". It matches the Rfam family "Eukaryotic small subunit ribosomal RNA". The record is from RNAcentral. Lineage: Eukaryota; Metazoa; Arthropoda; Insecta; Hemiptera; Anthocoridae.